UGGACCGCUUUUCGUUCAUAU
RNAcentral lists this non-coding RNA (21 nucleotides) under Caenorhabditis elegans. Lineage: Eukaryota; Metazoa; Nematoda; Chromadorea; Rhabditida; Rhabditidae. The record is from RNAcentral.